Hippocampus comes (tiger tail seahorse) is the source of this 1067-nucleotide long non-coding RNA. RefSeq lists it as uncharacterized. The transcript is spliced from 2 exons. Lineage: Eukaryota; Metazoa; Chordata; Actinopteri; Syngnathiformes; Syngnathidae. The record is from RefSeq and is a predicted model, not a curated record.
AGGAGACAAAGCAAAUGUGUGUCGUGUACCCGUGGCUCUCUCAGGGGCACUCGUGUGAAUAUUUGAGGACCACAUGGCAGCACAGCCAGAGAACCAAAUGCAAAUCAGGCGCAACGAACUUUAAGCCUCAUACGGUCUGAUCAUCACAGGAGCAGCGGGCUCUUUCACGGCUCCUUCAUUGGGGAUUUGUGAAAACAAUUCAGCACAGCCGGAAUGGCUUCUGGCUGUGUGCCGACUACUACGUUUAGCGACUUCCCAGAGCAGUGAGACCUCCUUACCUUUCGCACACUACGGUACUUUUCAUUUCAAUUCAGUGUGGACUGAAGAUUAUAAACUCUUGGUUCCCAAUAUUGCUUUUGAACUCCUUCUCGUUUUUAUGAUUUUAGGGUCCGCUUUUUUGUCUACGAGAUGAUGUUUACUUCACUUUAACAAUUACCAUCUUACAAGUCUUUCCAGGUAUUGCUGAGGGAAUUAUCUGCCCCUUUCAGAGCUAAAUGUUAAAAUUUCAAGACUUGGACUGGGUACUUUUUAAGUAGGGCAAACAGUUUUAUAACAUCAAUCUGAAAUGGCGGGUGGGGUCAGAGUUGAACAAACAAUGAGGGGGACUGUCACUGAAGAUCCUACAUGAUAUUAAUGAGCUACAAAGGGAGAUGAAAAGAGAAACCCUCAAGAAAUAGAUCUGUAUUUCUCGAAACGGCCAGCAGGAUUUCAAUCACCCAGAGAACGUUUACUAGUUAAUUUAGGCUGCUGGCAUAAAGUCUUUUUCAAACAAUGAAGAUCAUGCCAGGACGUGGUCAAAUCCAAGCUAGCAAUGGAGACAUUCAGGAGAAGGUGACUGUUUUCCCUUAGAAAAACAGUGAACAGGACUUUUGUGGUACAGAAUAAUUUGUUCCACCACACUUUAUCUUUAAUGUUUGAUUUCCCCUCCAUAAACGGCCACUACAACCAUGAGAGCCAUCAAGCACUUUCUAAGAGUAUUUCCACUGUAAGAUUACAUCUCCAGAAGCCCCUUCACAGGCAAAUAUCGUUAAAAAAAAAUAGCCACCGACUUUAAGAAGAAAAAGUUA